This 526-nucleotide ribosomal RNA is filed under the name Microcystis aeruginosa MBDU 013. RNAcentral describes it as "partial 16S ribosomal RNA". It matches the Rfam family "Bacterial small subunit ribosomal RNA", at positions 190 to 735 of the family's 1533-position model. Lineage: Bacteria; Bacillati; Cyanobacteriota; Cyanophyceae; Chroococcales; Microcystaceae. The record is from RNAcentral.
UUCNGNUGUGCCGCAAGNUGAACUUAAUUGNNNNAGAGGGCUUGCGUCUGNNAAGCUANUGGUGGGGUNAGGGCCUACCAAGGCGACGAUCAGUAGCUGUCUAGAGGAUGAGCAGCCACACUGGGACUGAGACACGGCCAGACUCCUACGGGAGGCAGCAGUGGGGAAUUUUCCGCAAUGGGCGAAAACCUGACGGAGCAACGCCGCGUGAGGGAGGAAGGUCUUUGGAUUGUAAACCUCUUUUCUCAAGGAAGAAGUUCUGACGGUACUUGAGGAAUCAGCCUCGGCUAACUCCGUGCCAGCAGCCGCGGUAAUACGGGGGAGGCAAGCGUUAUCCGGAAUUAUUGGGCGUAAAACGUCCGCAGGUGGUCAGCCAAGUCUGCCGUCAAAUCAGGUUGCUUAACGACCUAAAGGCGGUGGAAACUGGCAGACUAGAGAGCAGUAGGGGUAGCAGGAAUUCCCAGUGUAGCGGUGAAAUGCAGUAGAGAUUGGGAAGAACAUCGGUGCGAAAGCGUGCUACUGGGCC